GACGAACGCUGGCGGCGUGCUUAACACAUGCAAGUCGAACGGAAAGGCCCCUUUGGGGGUACUCGAGUGGCGAACGGGUGAGUAACACGUGCGUAACCUGCCCUUGACUUCGGGAUAACUUCAGGAAACUGGGGCUAAUACCGGAUAGGAAUCCUUGCUGCCUGGUGGGGGUUGGCAAGCUGCGGCGGUUUUGGAUGGACUCGCAGCCUAUCAGCUUGUUGGUGGGGUAGUGGCUUACCAAGGCUUUGACGGGUAGCCGGCCUGAGAGGGCGACCGGGACCAGUGGGACUGAGAUACGGCCCAGACUCCUACGGGAGGCAGCAGUGGGGAAUAGUACACAUGGGGCGUAAGCCUGAGGCAGCUACGCCGCGUGCGGGAUGACGGCCUUCGGGUUGGAAUCCUCUUUCAGCAGGGGCGAGGCUUGUGAUGACGGUACCUGCAGAAGAAGCACCGGCUAACUACGUG
This 465-nucleotide ribosomal RNA is filed under the name uncultured bacterium. RNAcentral's name for it is "partial 16S ribosomal RNA". It matches the Rfam family "Bacterial small subunit ribosomal RNA", at positions 28 to 507 of the family's 1533-position model. The record is from RNAcentral.